UACAGAGGUCUCGAGCGUUAAUCGGAGUUACUGGGCUUAAAGGGUGCGUAGGCGGAUGCGCAAGUGCUUUGUGAAAUACCUUGGCUCAACCAAGGAAAUGCUUGGCAUACUGCGUGUCUUGAGGUCGGUAGGGGAUGUCGGAACUCUAGGUGGAGCGGUGAAAUGCGUAGAUAUCUAGAGGAACGCCGAAGGCGAAGGCAGACAUCUGGGCCGAUUCUGACGCUGAUGCACGAAAGCGUGGGGAGCGAACGGG
RNAcentral lists this ribosomal RNA (253 nucleotides) under uncultured bacterium. RNAcentral describes it as "partial 16S ribosomal RNA". It matches the Rfam family "Bacterial small subunit ribosomal RNA", at positions 524 to 776 of the family's 1533-position model. The record is from RNAcentral.